UGUGGGGGAUAACCAUUGGAAACGAUGGCUAAUACCGCAUGAUGCCUACGGGCCAAAGAGGGGGACCUUCGGGCCUCUCGCGUCAGGAUAUGCCCAGGUGGGAUUAGCUAGUUGGUGAGGUAAGGGCUCACCAAGGCGACGAUCCCUAGCUGGUCUGAGAGGAUGAUCAGCCACACUGGAACUGAGACACGGUCCAGACUCCUACGGGAGGCAGCAGUGGGGAAUAUUGCACAAUGGGCGCAAGCCUGAUGCAGCCAUGCCGCGUGUGUGAAGAAGGCCUUCGGGUUGUAAAGCA
RNAcentral lists this ribosomal RNA (295 nucleotides) under Vibrio vulnificus. RNAcentral's name for it is "partial 16S ribosomal RNA". It matches the Rfam family "Bacterial small subunit ribosomal RNA", at positions 135 to 432 of the family's 1533-position model. Lineage: Bacteria; Pseudomonadati; Pseudomonadota; Gammaproteobacteria; Vibrionales; Vibrionaceae. The record is from RNAcentral.